This 253-nucleotide ribosomal RNA is filed under the name uncultured bacterium. RNAcentral's name for it is "partial 16S ribosomal RNA". It matches the Rfam family "Bacterial small subunit ribosomal RNA", at positions 524 to 776 of the family's 1533-position model. The record is from RNAcentral.
UACGUAGGUGGCAAGCGUUGUCCGGAUUUAUUGGGCUUAAAGGGUGCGUAGGCGGUCUAUUAAGUCAGCGGUGAAAUACUCCAGCUUAACUGGAGGGGUGCCAUUGAUACUGAUGGACUUGAGUCAAGUCGAGGUAGGCGGAAUUGACGGUGUAGCGGUGAAAUGCUUAGAUAUCGUCAAGAACACCAAUAGUGAAGACAGCUUGCUGGGCUUAAACUGACGCUGAGGCACGAAAGUGUGGGGAUCAAACAGG